Molecule: long non-coding RNA, 424 nt
Filed under: Medicago truncatula (barrel medic)
Lineage: Eukaryota; Viridiplantae; Streptophyta; Magnoliopsida; Fabales; Fabaceae
Description: long non-coding RNA (MTRU_LNC008405)
Source: RNAcentral
UGCCAUCUUUUCGUACCGAUGUCAUCUUCAUCAUCAUGAAUCAGCCCAUCACCGCCACAGUCACAAAUCAGCCCAUCGUGGCCGUCAUCACAACGACGACGUUUUUGUGUGAUUGAGAAACAGGCUGAGUUUGCGUGGAUUAUCUCCCCCGUGUCAUUAAAACUAACCGCUGAAUUUAUUUGUUGCUUGCACAUGGACAAUGCAAUGGAAUUAAAAGGCAUUAGGGUAAAUAUCAUUAGUUCCUUUACGACAGAAUAAGUUUUGUUUUAGAUUUUUUUAAUUAUAAUUGUUGGGUAAGAAUAUCAUUAGUUCAAUUUUCAAACUUCUUCUAUUUUGAAAUAGGCAUCAGUUCUGGAAAAAGAUACAGAGAGCCAACAGUUCUGGAAAAAGAUAGAGAUUGUGUUUCUAAAAGCAAUCAUAUGUG